Molecule: ribosomal RNA, 506 nt
Filed under: uncultured bacterium
Lineage: Bacteria
Description: partial 16S ribosomal RNA
Rfam family: Bacterial small subunit ribosomal RNA
Source: RNAcentral
AGUGAACGCUGGCGGUAGGCCUAACACAUGCAAGUCGAACGGCAGCACAGGAGAGCUUGCUCUCUGGGUGGCGAGUGGCGGACGGGUGAGGAAUACAUCGGAAUCUACUCUGUCGUGGGGGAUAACGUAGGGAAACUUACGCUAAUACCGCAUACGACCUACGGGUGAAAGCAGGGGAUCUUCGGACCUUGCGCGAUUGAAUGAGCCGAUGUCGGAUUAGCUAGUUGGCGGGGUAAAGGCCCACCAAGGCGACGAUCCGUAGCUGGUCUGAGAGGAAGAGCAGCAGCACUGGAAAUGGGACACGGUCCAGACUCCUAAGGGAGGCAGCAGUGGGGAAUAUUGGACAAUGGGCGCAAGCCUGAUUCAGCCAUACCGCGUGGGUGAAGAAGGCCUUCGGGUUGUAAAGCCCUUUUGUUGGGAAAGAAAUCCAGCUGGCUAAUACCCGGUUGGGAUGACGGUACCCAAAGAAUAAGCACCGGCUAACUUCGUGCCAGCCGCCGCCGUAA